Long non-coding RNA from Cercocebus atys (sooty mangabey), 417 nucleotides. RefSeq lists it as uncharacterized. NCBI's taxonomy places the organism in Eukaryota, Metazoa, Chordata, Mammalia, Primates, Cercopithecidae. The transcript has 2 exons. The record is from RefSeq and is a predicted model, not a curated record.
GCGGCCGGGGCGCGUGCACGCUGCGGGGCUCCGAAACUGGGGGGCGUGUCCGGGGCCCCGAGAAGGGGGUGGAGGCUGGGGCCGGGAAGCCUCCCUUGGCUGCGGUCCCGACCCGGGAACAGGCGGCAUGCACUCGGGAUCAGCGGCUACUGCGGAAACCCACCCGCACCUGUCUUGAGUCCUCCCGGGAGGAGAGGUUCCCCAAAGCGAGACUUCCCUAGGACUGCCAUCUAAUGAAUAAAUGCUGCGGAGACCAGGUCCUCAAAGAGGGAAACAGCCCAGCAAUGGCAGGAGAGAGGAAUUUGAAAUACGUGGACUUUUACAAACAGUAAUUGGACCAUGUGUCGCCCUUAAUGUGGUCCGAUUUCAUGACUCAGGCUAAUUGAUGUCAAUAAUAAAUUUUUUUAGGAUGGCUAA